GAUGAACGCUGGCGGCGUGCUUAACACAUGCAAGUCGAACGGUGAAGCCAAGCUUGCUUGGUGGAUCAGUGGCGAACGGGUGAGUAACACGUGAGCAACCUGCCCUGGACUCUGGGAUAAGCGCUGGAAACGGUGUCUAAUACUGGAUAUGAGAUGUGAUCGCAUGGUCAUGUUUGGAAAGAUUUUUCGGUCUGGGAUGGGCUCGCGGCCUAUCAGCUUGUUGGUGAGGUAAUGGCUCACCAAGGCGUCGACGGGUAGCCGGCCUGAGAGGGUGACCGGCCACACUGGGACUGAGACACGGCCCAGACUCCUACGGGAGGCAGCAGUGGGGAAUAUUGCACAAUGGGCGGAAGCCUGAUGCAGCAACGCCGCGUGAGGGAUGACGGCCUUCGGGUUGUAAACCUCUUUUAGCAGGGAAGAAGCGAAAGUGACGGUACCUGCAGAAAAAGCGCCGGCUAACUACGUGCCAGCAGCCGCGGUAAUACGUAGGGCGCAAGCGUUAUCCGGAAUUAUUGGGCGUAAAGAGCUCGUAGGCGGUUUGUCGCGUCUGCUGUGAAAUCCCGAGGCUCAACCUCGGGUCUGCAGUGGGUACGGGCAGACUAGAGUGCGGUAGGGGAGAUUGGAAUUCCUGGUGUAGCGGUGGAAUGCGCAGAUAUCAGGAGGAACACCGAUGGCGAAGGCAGAUCUCUGGGCCGUAACUGACGCUGAGGAGCGAAAGGGUGGGGAGCAAACAGGCUUAGAUACCCUGGUAGUCCACCCCGUAAACGUUGGGAACUAGUUGUGGGGACCAUUCCACGGUUUCCGUGACGCAGCUAACGCAUUAAGUUCCCCGCCUGGGGAGUACGGCCGCAAGGCUAAAACUCAAAGGAAUUGACGGGGACCCGCACAAGCGGCGGAGCAUGCGGAUUAAUUCGAUGCAACGCGAAGAACCUUACCAAGGCUUGACAUACACCAGAACACCGUAGAAAUACGGGACUCUUUGGACACUGGUGAACAGGUGGUGCAUGGUUGUCGUCAGCUCGUGUCGUGAGAUGUUGGGUUAAGUCCCGCAACGAGCGCAACCCUCGUUCUAUGUUGCCAGCACGUAAUGGUGGGAACUC
This 1100-nucleotide ribosomal RNA is filed under the name Microbacterium sp. IK1_84. RNAcentral's name for it is "bacterial SSU rRNA". It matches the Rfam family "Bacterial small subunit ribosomal RNA", at positions 28 to 1140 of the family's 1533-position model. The record is from RNAcentral. Lineage: Bacteria; Bacillati; Actinomycetota; Actinomycetes; Micrococcales; Microbacteriaceae.